GAUGAACGCUGGCGGCGUGCCUAAUACAUGCAAGUCGAGCGAACAGACGAGGAGCUUGCUCCUCUGACGUUAGCGGCGGACGGGUGAGUAACACGUGGAUAACCUACCUAUAAGACUGGGAUAACUUCGGGAAACCGGAGCUAAUACCGGAUAAUAUAUUGAACCGCAUGGUUCAAUAGUGAAAGACGGUUUUGCUGUCACUUAUAGAUGGAUCCGCGCCGCAUUAGCUAGUUGGUAAGGUAACGGCUUACCAAGGCAACGAUGCGUAGCCGACCUGAGAGGGUGAUCGGCCAUACUGGAACUGCGACACGGUCCAGACUCCUACGGGAGGCAGCAGUAGGGAAUCUUCCGCAAUGGGCGAAAGCCUGACGGAGCAGCGCCGCGUGAGUGAUGAUGGUCUUCGGAUCGUAAAACUCUGUUAUUAGGGAAGAACAAAUGUGUAAGUAACUAUGCGCGUCUUGACGGUACCUAAUCAGAAAGCCACGGCUAACUACGUG
Molecule: ribosomal RNA, 497 nt
Filed under: uncultured bacterium
Lineage: Bacteria
Description: partial 16S ribosomal RNA
Rfam family: Bacterial small subunit ribosomal RNA
Source: RNAcentral